GACGAACGCUGGCGGCGUGCUUAACACAUGCAAGUCGAACGACGUGGCGAACGGGUGAGUAACGCGUAAUCAACCUGCCCUUCAGCGGGGGACAACAGUUGGAAACGACUGCUAAUACCGCAUACUUCAGGAGGAGAUUGCGUCUGAUUAGCUAGUUGGAGGGGUAACGGCCCCCCAAGGCGAUGAUCAGUAGCCGGUAUGAGAGGAUGAACGGCCACAUUGAGACUGGGACCCGGACCAGACUCCUACGGGAGGCAGCAGUGGGGAAGCUUCCGCAAUGGACGAAAGUCUGACGGAGCAACGCCGCGUGAGUGAUGACGGCCUUCGGGUUGUAAAGCUCUGUUAAUCGGGACGCGGUACCGGAAGAGAAAGCCACGGCUAACUACGUGCCAGCAGCCGCGGUAAUAC
This 408-nucleotide ribosomal RNA is filed under the name uncultured bacterium. RNAcentral's name for it is "partial 16S ribosomal RNA". It matches the Rfam family "Bacterial small subunit ribosomal RNA", at positions 28 to 526 of the family's 1533-position model. The record is from RNAcentral.